This 768-nucleotide long non-coding RNA is filed under the name Piliocolobus tephrosceles (Ugandan red Colobus). RNAcentral's name for it is "lncRNA (ENSPTEG00000006419.1)". The record is from RNAcentral. Lineage: Eukaryota; Metazoa; Chordata; Mammalia; Primates; Cercopithecidae.
CAUUUCCCUUGUGGCUGCAUAGGCAGGAAGCAGGUGGCAGGGAGCGGACCCACAGCAUCCCCCACAGCGGGCCCUGGGGUUGCCACCAACCAUGGCUGGGAGCUGCUCUCAUUGACUGCUCAGUGGCUCUGUGGCUCUGGGAACCGGACCUCCUCUUAAACCUGACAAAGAAUUCAAGGGCUUGUGCUGGGGCUGCCAGCUGCUCUUCUGGUGCCCUGAGGACGAAGAAGGGAUCUGAAGGGAAGAUCGUCACCCUCUCGCAUAUGUUUCCGCUCAGCAUGAGAGAGACAAGGGGAGAUCCCAGUUCCAGGAACACCUGGCCAGUGUGUCACCUGUUUCUUGGAAUUGACAGGACCAGUCCAGCCCUUUCCCAACUCUCCCCAUCAUGAUGGACGGGAGCCUGGCCUUUGAGGUUAUGAACCAAGGAGAUGAAAGAUGCUGAUCAAUGAAAAAGAUUUAAAAACCACAUUACUAGUGCCUCUAAAGCCCUGCCAGCAUCUAUGCCCUAUGAUUCAACAUCAUGAAGAGGGAUAGGAGAAGAAGGGAGUUAUUAAUUAGCAUUACUAUAAAAGCAUUCCAUCCUGAGAAGAGGUUCAUCACUGAAUGUGAAUUUCAUAGUCAUUAGCAGAAAAAGCCAGAGGGUACGCUUUUAACACUCUGUGGUAGCUUGUUGAUCUGAUCAAAAUCAACUUUUCUGGAGUCCACAGAAAAUUAGACUUUUUGACAUUCUGCUGAAAGACUUAUAUCCCAAAAAGCUGGAUGAGGACC